UCCCUGCUUUGUCCAGUUUACCAUUCUGUCACAGAUGCAAGUUACUUCUACCCAGUGCACUGUGAAAACGGAGAAGAUGUGUGUCUAACAGAAAAACUAUGGACCAUCAAUGAUAAAAGGAAUACAUUUGAACUUAUAAGAAGAUGUGGAAAAGCUGCAGAGUGCAGCCGAGUCGGUACUUAUAGCAGCAGCACCAAAGGGUUUGCCAUCAAUACUACCUGCUGUAACUCCAGUAUGUGCCUCCCUCCUAUCCCCAUGUUUCCCCUCCAAACAGCUACUGAAAAUGGACUGGCCUGUCCAACAUGCUUUGCAUCAAAUUCCAGACGAUGUACAGAAGAAGACCCAUUGAAAUGUGUUGGGAAUGAGAAUCGCUGCAUCCGCUAUGUAAAAAAUGAAUAUUAUG
This is a long non-coding RNA of Xenopus tropicalis (tropical clawed frog), 403 nucleotides long. RefSeq lists it as uncharacterized. The record is from RefSeq and is a predicted model, not a curated record. The transcript is spliced from 3 exons. NCBI's taxonomy places the organism in Eukaryota, Metazoa, Chordata, Amphibia, Anura, Pipidae.